CAGUCGCCGCGGUAAUACCGAGGGUGCGAGCGUUAAUCGGAUUUACUGGGCGUAAAGCGUGCGUAGGCGGCUUCUUAAGUCGGAUGUGAAAUCCCUGAGCUUAACUUAGGAAUUGCAUUCGAUACUGGGAAGCUAGAGUAUGGGAGAGGAUGGUAGAAUUCCAGGUGUAGCGGUGAAAUGCGUAGAGAUCUGGAGGAAUACCGAUGGCGAAGGCAGCCAUCUGGCCUAAUACUGACGCUGAGGUACGAAAGCAUGGGGAGCAAACAGGAUUAGAUACCCCCGUAGUCCCUGUCUCUUAUAA
This 301-nucleotide ribosomal RNA is filed under the name uncultured bacterium. RNAcentral's name for it is "partial 16S ribosomal RNA". It matches the Rfam family "Bacterial small subunit ribosomal RNA", at positions 509 to 809 of the family's 1533-position model. The record is from RNAcentral.